RNAcentral lists this long non-coding RNA (3135 nucleotides) under Chlamydomonas reinhardtii. RNAcentral's name for it is "long non-coding RNA (CREI_LNC001005)". Lineage: Eukaryota; Viridiplantae; Chlorophyta; Chlorophyceae; Chlamydomonadales; Chlamydomonadaceae. The record is from RNAcentral.
UGGGAUGACAGCCGCGGGCAAGCCAGGGCUUCAUAAACGCACGAGACACGUACGCACACUCGAGGAGAGAACCUCGAAUGACCCCCAUGCUCCUCGCCUCACUAAAGGAGGGGAGGAACCCCGAGCAAGGCUCACCGCAAACGCUAGCGCUGCUCACCUAAGCCGCGGGUCGGCGUCAGACUGACUGCCACUUUGCAAAGUGCAACUCCUACCCCAAAACACCAGCACCAACAGGGCAGGGCCCUCACACUGUUGGGUGCAGCCCGAAGCUGCAUCCUGUCGACGGCCUAGGGCCGGUCCGACCCACCAGACAGCACAAGCCACAGCGCCCGCACCCUAGCGCAGGCGGUGCAGGCACGCCCACCGCCCAACCAAGUCCACACAGCCGCGCAACACCCUAGCACAGCAGACAGCGCAAGCCAGCCUUCGCUUAGUCGGCCUGCGCCAGCCAGCCUUCGCUGGACUGCCUUCGCCAGACUGCAUUCGCCAAGCAGGUCUCUCCACUGGCCACACCACGAGGUGUGUAGAUGCGCCCACAGCUCCAGCCGCCGCCGCCCGGAAGACGCCGGUCCUGGCUCCCGCCGCAGCGUGCCCCGAAAGAGCCGCUCAGCGACACGCCACUGCGAGCCCGGCAGCAGCGAGCGCCCCGCCAGAAGCAUCGCGAAGCCAUGAGGACGAGGUCGAACGGCGAGCAGGCGCGCCACCCACGCUAGGUCGCGAAGGCUCCACGGUGUGAAGUCAUGAUGUUCGGCAAAGAUUGCCAGAGCGGGGUCCGCUCGGCAGGACGGCGACGAUGAUGUCGCCGACUGAGUGGCGCGCCGCAGCCAGAGCAGUACUGACGCACUACAGCUGACCUAAGCAACGCCAGGGACGCCAUGGAGGCGCCACAGGGGAUUGGCGCGGCCACGAAGGCCGGCCAGGAACUACUACCGACAAGGAGGGUUAGGGCGCCGAGGCGCCCUAACGCAACCAAGCGGAGUAGAACGAGUUCAAUAGCUGAUAGAGGUUACAUGUGGGACGACAGCCGUGGACUAGCCAGGGCCCCAAAAACGUACGAGACACGCACGCUCACCCGAGGAGAGAUCCCCGAAUGACCCCCAUGCUCCUCGCCUCCGGAGAGGGGAGGAACCCCAGGCCCGGCUCACCGCAAACGCUAGCGCUGCUCACCUAAGCCGUGGGUCGGCGUCAUAAGACUACCUCUUAUUGCGAGUCCCUAAGCUGACAAGCUAGGGUGAGGCCGGUGGCGAGUCCGCUGUUGGCCCUACCAAGAUAACCCCUCCAACAUCAUCUGACGCUAGGAAUGGGUGCUGGUUCGGGACAAGGUCCCAGCGGCGCGGAGGCCGACGCAGACUCACAAACGCAGCUAGCCGUGACCAGAAGUCCGCAAUCACCUCCACACCGAUCCUUCGCACAACAGCAACCUCCGCAGUCCGGUCUGCAGCAUCACGGCAAGCGUAAAGGCGCUGUCGGCCGUAUUCCAGGGCCGCCACAGCAGCCAAGCACACGAUGUCCCACACCGCCUGCGAUAGCCCUGGUGGCGCCUGUACUCAAUAGCGAAUAGAGGUUACAUGUGGGACGACAGCCGCGGGCAAGCCAGGGCUUCAUAAACGCACGAGACACGUACGCACACUCGAGGAGAGAACCUCGAAUGACCCCCAUGCUCCUCGCCUCACUAAAGGAGGGGAGGAACCCCGAGCAAGGCUCACCGCAAACGCUAGCGCUGCUCACCUAAGCCGCGGGUCGGCGUCAGACUGACUGCCACUUUGCAAAGUGCAACUCCUACCCCAAAACACCAGCACCAACAGGGCAGGGCCCUCACACUGUUGGGUGCAGCCCGAAGCUGCAUCCUGUCGACGGCCUAGGGCCGUGCAAGUUCGCUGAACCACGAGGAUCAGCCGGUCCGACCCACCAGACAGCACAAGCCACAGCGCCCGCACCCUAGCGCAGGUGGUGCAGGCACGCCCACCGCCCAACCAAGUCCACACAGCCUCGCAACACCCUAGCACAGCAGACAGCGCCAGCCAGCCUUCGCUUAGUCGGCCUGCGCCAGCCAGCCUUCGCUGGACUGCCUUCGCCAGACUGCAUUCGCCAAGCAGGUCUCUCCACUGGCCACACCACGAGGUGUGUAGAUGCGCCCACAGCUCCAGCCGCCGCCGCCCGGAAGACGCCGGUCCUGGCUCCCGCCGCAGCGUGCCCCUGUUCACGCGCAGCGAGCCCGGCGCCACGUCAGGCCGCGGCAGCAGCCCACAGCAAGAGUCGCCAGCAGCUCCAAUCGGCCCGCCGUUACCGAAAGAGCCGCUCAGCGACACGCCACUGCGAGCCCGGCAGCAGCGAGCGCCCCGCCAGAAGCAUCGCGAAGCCAUGAGGACGAGGUCGAACGGCGAGCAGGCGCGCCACCCAUGCUAGGUCGCGAAGGCUCCACGGUGUGAAGUCAUGAUGUUCGGCAAAGAUUGCCAGAGCGGGGCCCGCUCGGCAGGACGGCGACGAUGAUGUCGCCGACUGAGUGGCGCGCCGCAGCCAGAGCAGUACUGACGCACUACAGCUGACCUAAGCAACGCCAGGGACGCCAUGGAGGCGCCACAGGGGAUGGGCGCGGCCACGAAGGCCGGCCAGGAACUACUACCGACAAGGAGGGUCAGGGCGCCGAGGCGCCCUAACGCAACCAAGCGGAGUAGAACGAGUUAGCUGGUUCAAUAGCCCAGCUAUAUACAUAUGCCAUGGAAAGUGUGACGCACCCGGUGCGUUUGCGCUACAGCGCGAUUUAGCUCGAACCAACUAGCAUGAUCGAUUAUUCGCAGCUUCCUGUAUACGUGAUCUUCUGUCCAGGCCGCGAGAGCGAGUGCAGCGUAUGAACGAAGCCGGUAACUGCGCUUUCUUGGCUUCCUCGAGAAUGCGCGCAGCUAUAACUUACAGUGCGAUGUAUUAGCGACACAGUCUGGCCUGCCAGAGCGCGCACUUGCAAGAAUUUCAGAGCGGGCUCGUUCCGAUCGGCUGGGAUGAAAGCUUACACGAUAUGUGCGAGCAGCUGUAUCCGUUGAUAUAAUCGGUGAGCAAAGUCAUGCACAGUUGCGAUGUGCUGUGAACUUUUAGCACGCUCGGCGACCCAGCUCGGCGAACCUCCUCGCUGGCGGGGGG